RNAcentral lists this small RNA (536 nucleotides) under Pongo abelii (Sumatran orangutan). RNAcentral describes it as "processed transcript". The record is from RNAcentral. Lineage: Eukaryota; Metazoa; Chordata; Mammalia; Primates; Hominidae.
UGUGUGCCGCCUGCCUGUGGUCCUGGGAGCCCGAGGCCAGCCCGGCUGCCGCAUCCUGCUCUUCUCACCUCCAGGUUUCAGAUAGGAGUCACUCGCCUCUUUGUGCCACACCCACAUCUAAGCCGUGUAGAACAGGCCCCUUGCAGGUGUCUGCCCCCAGCCUCUGCACUUGUGAGACCUUCUCUCUGGAAAAUUCUUCUCUGAUAUCCACAUGCCUUCGCGUUGCCUCCCCAUCUCACCCUGAAAGGCUGCCCAGGCUUUGCUGAAGUUCUGCAGACCUUCAGUACCUGCAAGGGGAUGCUGGGCGAGAUCCUGUCUGCAUUCGAGUUCAUGGAUGCUGUGUGCAUGCAGCUGGUCAGGCGCCAUCUCCACCUGGCCAGCCCGGUGCAAGAUCUCCACAAUGGAAGUUCGAAGCUAGCAAAAGCCACGCAAACCACAGGCUGAUCUGUCUGAGCCCCGGGAUUUGGCCCCAGGUUCCGCUUCAGCCACCAGCACCGUCUGCUCCUCCUCAGAAUCCUUCCUCCCCCUCGGCCCGC